Molecule: ribosomal RNA, 392 nt
Filed under: uncultured Gammaproteobacteria bacterium
Lineage: Bacteria; Pseudomonadati; Pseudomonadota; Gammaproteobacteria
Description: bacterial SSU rRNA
Rfam family: Bacterial small subunit ribosomal RNA
Source: RNAcentral
AAUGGGCGCAAGCCUGAUCCAGCCAUGCCGCGUGAGUGAUGAAGGCCCUAGGGUCGUAAAGCUCUUUCGCCAGGGAUGAUAAUGACAGUACCUGGUAAAGAAACCCCGGCUAACUCCGUGCCAGCAGCCGCGGUAAUACGGAGGGGGUUAGCGUUGUUCGGAAUUACUGGGCGUAAAGCGCGCGUAGGCGGAUUAGUCAGUCAGAGGUGAAAUCCCAGGGCUCAACCCUGGAACUGCCUUUGAUACUGCUAGUCUUGAGUUCGAGAGAGGCAAGUGGAAUUCCGAGUGUAGAGGUGAAAUUCGUAGAUAUUCGGAGGAACACCAGUGGCGAAGGCGGCUUACUGGCUCGAUACUGACGCUGAGGUGCGAAAGUGUGGGGAGCAAACAGGAUU